UCUUUGAGGUUUGCGCUUUCCGUGGUUCUUUCUUGUGUUUUUCAUCGUUAACUUGGGUAGUGUUGUCAUAUCUGGCACUGGCCGUGGAGUUGGGGUUGAGUGUGUGUGCUGUGGAAGAAGUUGACCUUAUUGCGCGGCAGUUGCGUUUCAGAGCUUGGAGAAGUGACUUUGAAGUUUUGGGGUUUUUGCUUGGGGGCUGUCAGCGGAAAGAAUGUCUUUCCAGCAUAAAAGCUUUUGGAUACCUAG
RNAcentral lists this unclassified non-coding RNA (246 nucleotides) under Hevea brasiliensis (rubber tree). Lineage: Eukaryota; Viridiplantae; Streptophyta; Magnoliopsida; Malpighiales; Euphorbiaceae. The record is from RNAcentral.